UAUUAAUUGUGCAGGAGACUGUUAAUUUAAACUUUAUUAUGGUAACGUUAAAUGCUCGCUCGUUUUGCAAAGUUACGCUUGGAGAUUCAUGUUAACAGUCGUUGUUUAAUGAAAGGCACAUUGGACUACGGGUUAGUAAUAUGUGUGACACUUGCUUGCAGCACUGUAACGUAAAUCGUUAACACCGUGUCCUAAAUAGACAUGACACGCGGUAACGGGUUUCUUUUCAGUUUAUGUCCUUACGUUAUAGGACGGGUCAUUAAAUUAUGCCUUUCGAUUAUCGCAACGCCUCGUCGUGUUUGGUUAAGCACAUGGUGGAACAGUAUGCACAUCACUGUACCUAACGUACUGUACACCUGUGAGCGGCAUGACGAGACAAAAGACGGUAAAACUCAAUAUUAAUCGGUGAUGCUGUACAUUCUGGAUGAUGCACAGACACAUUUUAUAAUACUGUUUUUUAUUUUCGUGUCGCGCCGCUCGCGUUCAAUAUAAAGUUAGACAAGACGCAAUUAAUUAUUGGGAGAGUAGUGGUCUAAUGGUAAGAGUCGAACUUCACGAACCUUUCACUGCUUGCAGUAAGGCUAAAGUGCUACGUGAAUAAGAUGGGUGUAGUUUUGUGCUACUAGCUGUAAAGUGUUUUUGCACUAUUGAGUUAUAAAUACUGCCCAGUAAUACUUAGCUAGAUGUAAAUCACAAAUCCUGUGUCAAUGUUUGUUUGUAAUCUUUUUCAGCUAUCCAUCUGAAAAAGAAAAGCCGGCACUCUCAAAGGAGAUUGUGUUUUUGGAUUAUGGUCUCAUUUGGUCAAAAAGAGGGACAUGUACCGUAAGGAUGCUUUUACAUACUUCAUUUAUGUGUAUGAAAUUACUUACUUGACAAUGUGUAUAAAAACUGUACUUGACUCUAACUAAGUGCUAUUUUUGCAUUGAUCAUGAUAGGAGCAUUUUUUUUUUUUUUUUGAUGGGCCAUCACACAGUGGAUUCAUAAAAUGAGAUUACAGAACAUCAGACGGUAGCUUCAACAGAGUUGAAGUGGGAGGACAUCAUCAAUAAAGAAUGCCAUUGACCAAACCUUCAGUCAUCAAAGAAGAUGGAUACAGGGGGACAUCAAGUUUUCCAGACUUACCGAUGGUAAAGAAGAAAUGGGAAUGUGACAAUUAUUGAGAAACUCAGGGAAAAAGCAUCUUUAGAGAAGAAAAUGGACAUCAGACAUUUAUUGAAGAAAGCUGACAGUCAACAUAAUGGUAUGAUUUCCUAUCUCUGUUCCAAAUGUUUAAUUUGGAAAAUGACGUUUAAAAAGUAACAUUCAAAGUACGAUAUAAAAGUAAUCCUUUUUUAAGAAUUUUUUCUCAUAAUUUAUAUUUUGCAUGUGACCUGCAUGUUUACUACACCCAGACGAGAGCUGUGUUAUACAAUGCUAAGGAUACUCGUUCAUCUUCUGCUGUGUGAAUUCUGCUGUGUCAGUCCUGUGGGACUUGAUGCCGGCUGGUACCAGUGUGACGUCUUUGCUGACUAAAUGAUCAAAGGGUGUCUGAAAUCAGCUCAGCCACAGUUGGUUUCCAGUGGUUCUUCAGGACAUGGAGGCCACUACGUAACUGUUGCAAUGAACGAUUCUUUUGCCUUUCCACCUGAUGUUGACAAUCUGACCUGUGCGGUACUGAAAACAACUUGCACUGACAUAUCUUAAAAUAUAUCAGUGCCCUUUGUUUUGCCUCAAAAUGCACACCAGUAAUGUUUUUUGUUGAAAGCAGUUAUAUUUCCUAAUUAAACUAAGGCCUAGUCCUGGAUUAUGCUAAUCCCCUGUACGGGAAACCGCCCCUAAAUGUUUUGUGACAGAAAUUUCUUUGAAUACACUUGUCAAGUUCAUUUUAAGUAUUUUUCUAAAUGUAAGAUAACAUGUUAAUGUUUCAGGACAAGUUACAUUUUUUUGAUAACUUGCAUGUUGGAAAUGAUUUCAGACAUUGUUCUAUUCAACAUGUUUAACACAGUUGCUUUAAAAUUCAAUGAAUUAUUUUCUAAAUAGUGUUUUAAAACGUUUCAAUGUAAUGUAUGUUUGAAGUAAUUAUACUUGCACUUACAUUUAUUUAAAUUAGCAUACAUCUAGCAACAUAAAGUACUAGCAUAUUUUCAUGCAAGCAUUAAUUGUCAAAUAUUUGUUAUUUUACAA
Non-coding RNA from Misgurnus anguillicaudatus (oriental weatherfish), 2163 nucleotides. The record is from RefSeq and is a predicted model, not a curated record. Lineage: Eukaryota; Metazoa; Chordata; Actinopteri; Cypriniformes; Cobitidae.